AAGCAAUGUUCUCCUGAGGUUGAAGCAGAUGUGUGUGGCUCUCCUCCUGACUCUCUAUUUUGAGACUCUAAGUUGAGAGCACAAAGUGAAUGGCGAUUUUUACAGCCCAGAAUGCUAAGUACUGAAUGGCACAAUAUUACUAUGGAUUCUAGAAAAAAGAGGUACAAGGUGUUGUAACAUGAGAGCUGCAUUGACUAUCUGACCAUCAAUAAGUUGGUAGUGCUCAGAUGGUGUGUUAUUCUCAGUGUUAUGGAUCUUGCUCAUGUCUGACUCAUUUCUUCUGCAUUUUCACAGAAUCAUAGAACCAUUAUGGUUGGAACAGACCUCUAAGAUCAUCUAGUCUGACCAUCAACACAUCAUCAGAGAUUUGCAUUGCUCAUCCUUCUGGACUCCAAGGGAAACAUCCAGACUCUGUGAACUGAGGAUGACAGAAAGCUGAUGCCAGUGAAAGUGAAAGGGAACGCACCCAGGGCUGCUGGGGAGACCUCGGCUCGUAUGGAGGUAAAGAGGGGCGGAGAGAAGCCAGGAAGGGAAAGAAGGAUCGGAGCAGAGAGGGAAGGGAGACAAAUGGGCAGCCCUAUCUAUCACUGCCUGUCCGAAGAGAAAAAGCGGGGGG
Molecule: long non-coding RNA, 616 nt
Filed under: Numida meleagris (helmeted guineafowl)
Lineage: Eukaryota; Metazoa; Chordata; Aves; Galliformes; Numididae
Description: lncRNA (ENSNMEG00000004354.1)
Source: RNAcentral